GGUGGAGAGACCGGAAGUGGGGGCCGGAGCGGCCGCGAGAUCCGAAGCUGACGGGUGGGACCCGGGGUCGAGCAGGCCCAGAGGCAGAAGCCGAGCGGGUGGGUCCCCAAGUGUUAACGCGCCCUAGGGAACGCCUUGGUGAGGUGUAGAAAGGCGGGAAGCAGGCUCUUCCUGGAAAUGCUGGAAAACUGGGAAGUUGGGAGAGGUUUCUGUGUGUCAGUGAUCAAAACAGCAUUUUACCCAAGGGACCCGGCUGUGCCUCCGGUUGGGGGCUGUUUCCACCUUUUACAGUUUACUUCAGUUUUUAAAAUUGUCUUGAGUCUUGAAAUAUGAAUUAUUUUUCAAAACUUAGCUGCGAGUUUUGAAUGUUUCUAAGUUUUGGAAAUGUAGUUUAGCUUCGCAAAUACAGGUUUUGGAAGUGAGAUUUGCAUUUUGAAAAUUUCAGUUGUGACCUCAAGUAGUUUACAAGUAUUUUGUUUACUUUAAAGUGUUCAUUUUAGAUUUGAUUUCGUAAAGAUGUCCCCCAAAUGUUCAUGUGUAACAGUUAUUGCCCUAACGUUAAAUACGUGCUUGACGCCUAUCGUACAUUUGUACUGAUACGUGAUUCGUGUUUAUAUUAUAAACACCUGUUGGCACAUAUACACACGACCGGAGUCUGGGGACGUCCCGGGCGGCGCGCUUAACCCUGGUCUCGCGAGAUCUGUCUGUGCGGACGGCCCCGCGGGCGGUCUUGGCACUCCUGCUGAGACCUCUCUCCCGCAGGUGCCUGGCUCCGCCCUGUCCCGUCGCGCGCGGACGCGCCCAGCAGGGGGCGCCGUCUCCGUGCUCUUGGAGCCGCCGUUCCUCCCACGCGCACCUGCAGUGGGGCGGAAAGGGGCGCGGCCUGGAAUGCGGACAAACCCUCCAGCCCGCUUUCCGGAAGGGGCCCGGGGCGAGUUUAAGCGUAACUUAGACCCGCCCUCGCUGCAGCCGGACGGAAAUUCCCAUCUCGCUGGAACAGGCGAGGGCGCCGAGGAACCCAGAGGACUGCAGCAGGGGGCGCAGGUGUCCGUCCACAAGCUACCUUCCUAGGUGACAGCUCCUGCCAGAGAGCCUCCCAGUAUAUUCCUGCAGGAACGCAGCGCCACGCUCUUCCUGGAGUGGCGAAAGAUCUAAUAAACUCGAGUUCCUACACGCCGGUUUCAUUAAUGUUACGAAAGCAAACUUUAUCAUUUGCCCGCCGCUCCUUUUUUAGAGGCGGGAGAGGGCGGUAAGAGGCACAGACUCGGUCCCGUAUGUCAUUCUUCCGUCUUCAAAGCACCGAGCAACUACGGAUGAAGUGAGAGCACAUCUCGGCACUGCUUCAAGAGGCCGGGGUGGGAAGGGGGGCAUCUGCGGAAAUAGAUGCUUCCUGUUGUACCCAUGUGAUGGCUGCGAUGUCCUACGAGUUCAUCUGUAAGUACAAAUGACAGUCCGCCCAACUGUGUUCAAGUUUUCCUACACACGCUAAGGGACCAGGUGUGCAGUGUCACCGAAAACCUUUCAAAAAGGUCAAGUCCUUCGAGCCGGAUUCGAACCAGCGACCUAAGGAUGACUACAACCACCCGCCUACAGUCCUCCGCUCUACCAACUGAGCUAUCGAAGGAUUGGUGUGCGUUCAAGCUGAUGUUUUGUAUCACAUACAAGAGUUUUAGUCGUCCUAAAUGUCACAUUUGGACAGACCUAGUUGCAUUUAUGAAGAGCCGUGUAGAAACAAAUGCAAAUCCUUCACCAGCGAAGGAACCAGCGUGCAUCACUCAGAGAUGCUAGACUUUCAGCAAACUGACGUUCUCAUGGACUUUUAUGUUGUCUCCCCCCAGGGGAAGCCAAGCGUGUUUGGCUUUUAGGAAGGAGGGUGGGCAGAAUCGUUGGUGGCUGCGUGGUGAACUGUAAUGGACACUAUUGCUUUUCAAAAAUCUCCUGACAUUGUGUUCUACCAUAUCUAAGACUAGAGUUCAUUACUCCUUUAGAAAUAGAUGUGGCCGUGUGACACAACUGUUUUGACAAAUGAGAUGUCCCUCCUGGAAGUUGGAGAGCCAGUGAGCCAUCCACCACACCCCUCUUGACCCUUCCCCUGACAAAAUAUGAUCUGAGUUGUUGGGGAUCCACAAGGAGCCCACCAGGCAAACCAUGACUGAUUUAUAUGACGCCGAAGAGUUUCCGGUUAUGAGCCAUCAUGAUUUGCAGAGGGGGAAUGCUUGUGACUGCAGUGUAACCUACCCUACUCAGGCGGACACACA
This is a long non-coding RNA of Acinonyx jubatus (cheetah), 2258 nucleotides long. RefSeq lists it as uncharacterized. The transcript has 3 exons. Lineage: Eukaryota; Metazoa; Chordata; Mammalia; Carnivora; Felidae. The record is from RefSeq and is a predicted model, not a curated record.